Molecule: ribosomal RNA, 253 nt
Filed under: uncultured bacterium
Lineage: Bacteria
Description: partial 16S ribosomal RNA
Rfam family: Bacterial small subunit ribosomal RNA
Source: RNAcentral
GACGGAGGAGGCAAGCGAUAUCCGGAAUUAUUGGGCGUAAAGGGUACGUAGGCGGCUGGUCAAGUCUGGGGUCAAAGGCCACAGCUCAACUGUGGGAAGGCCCUGGAAACUGACCGGCUAGAGUGAGGUAGGGGUUGCGGGAAUUCCCGGUGUAGCGGUGAAAUGCGUAGAGAUCGGGAAGAACACCUGAGGCGGAAGCGCGCAACUGGGCCUCAACUGACGCUGAGGUACGAAAGCUAGGGGAGCGAAAGCG